CAGUUAGUUGGUGGGGUAAUGGCUUACCAAGACUAUGACACAUAACUGGUUUGAGAGGAUGAUCAGUCACACUGGAACUGAGACACGGUCCAGACUCCUACGGGAGGCAGCAGUGGGGAAUAUUGCACAAUGGACGAAAGUCUGAUGCAGCAACGCCGCGUGGAGGAUGACACAUUUCGGUGCGUAAACUCCUUUUAUAUGAGAAGAUAAUGACGGUAUUAUAUGAAUAAGCACCGGCUAACUCCGUGCCAGCAGCCGCGGUAAUACGGGGGGUGCAAGCGUUACUCGGAAUCACUGGGCGUAAAGAGCAUGUAGGCGGAUUAAUAAGUUUGAAGUGAAAUCCUAUAGCUUAACUAUAGAACUGCUUUGAAAACUGUUAAUCUAGAAUGUGGGAGAGGUAGAUGGAAUUUCUGGUGUAGGGGUAAAAUCCGUAGAGAUCAGAAGGAAUACCGAUUGCGAAGGCGAUCUACUGGAACAUUAUUGACGCUGAGAUGCGAAAGCGUGGGGAGCAAACAGGAUUAGAUACCCUGGUAGUCCACGCCCUAAACGAUGUACACUAGUUGUUGUGAGACUUGAUCUUGCAGUAAUGCAGUUAACACAUUAAGUGUACCGCCUGGGGAGUACGGUCGCAAGAUUAAAACUCAAAGGAAUAGACGGGGACCCGCACAAGCGGUGGAGCAUGUGGUUUAAUUCGACGAUACACGAAGAACCUUACCUGGACUUGACAUAGUAAGAACUUUCUAGAGAUAGAUUGGUGUCUGCUUGCAGAAACUUAUAUACAGGUGCUGCACGGCUGUCGUCAGCUCGUGUCGUGAGAUGUUGGGUUAAGUCCCGCAACGAGCGCAACCCUCGUGUUUAGUUGCUAACAGUUUGGCUGAGAACUCUAAACAGACUGCCUACGCAAGUAGGAGGAAGGUGAGGACGACGUCAAGUCAUCAUGGCCCUUACGUCCAGGGCUACACACGUGCUACAAUGGGAUAUACAAAGAGCGGCAAUACGGUGACGUGGAGCAAAUCUUAUAAAAUAUCUCCCAGUUCGGAUUGUAGUCUGCAACUCGACUACAUGAAGUUGGAAUCGCUAGUAAUCG
RNAcentral lists this ribosomal RNA (1087 nucleotides) under Aliarcobacter cryaerophilus. Its description in RNAcentral is "bacterial SSU rRNA". It matches the Rfam family "Bacterial small subunit ribosomal RNA", at positions 242 to 1344 of the family's 1533-position model. Lineage: Bacteria; Pseudomonadati; Campylobacterota; Epsilonproteobacteria; Campylobacterales; Arcobacteraceae. The record is from RNAcentral.